RNAcentral lists this ribosomal RNA (662 nucleotides) under uncultured bacterium. RNAcentral describes it as "bacterial SSU rRNA". It matches the Rfam family "Bacterial small subunit ribosomal RNA", at positions 61 to 720 of the family's 1533-position model. The record is from RNAcentral.
GUCGAACGGAACUGUUUUGAAAGAUUUCUUCGGAAUGAAUUUGAUUUAGUUUAGUGGCGGACGGGUGAGUAACGCGUGAGUAACCUGCCUUCAAGAGGGGGAUAACAUUCUGAAAAGAAUGCUAAUACCGCAUGAUAUAUCGGAACCACAUGGUUCUGAUAUCAAAGAUUUUAUCGCUUGAAGAUGGACUCGCGUCCGAUUAGUUAGUUGGUGAGGUAACGGCUCACCAAGACCGCGAUCGGUAGCCGGACUGAGAGGUUGAACGGCCACAUUGGGACUGAGACACGGCCCAGACUCCUACGGGAGGCAGCAGUGGGGGAUAUUGCGCAAUGGGGGCAACCCUGACGCAGCAACGCCGCGUGAAGGAUGAAGGUUUUCGGAUUGUAAACUUCUUUUAUUAAGGACGAAAAAUGACGGUACUUAAUGAAUAAGCUCCGGCUAACUACGUGCCAGCAGCCGCGGUAAUACGUAGGGAGCAAGCGUUGUCCGGAUUUACUGGGUGUAAAGGGUGCGUAGGCGGCUUUGCAAGUCAGAUGUGAAAUCUAUGGGCUCAACCCAUAAACUGCAUUUGAAACUGUAGAGCUUGAGUGAAGUAGAGGCAGGCGGAAUUCCCCGUGUAGCGGUGAAAUGCGUAGAGAUGGGGAGGAACACCAGUGGCGAAC